Non-coding RNA from Ictidomys tridecemlineatus (thirteen-lined ground squirrel), 3445 nucleotides. The record is from RefSeq and is a predicted model, not a curated record. NCBI's taxonomy places the organism in Eukaryota, Metazoa, Chordata, Mammalia, Rodentia, Sciuridae.
UGCAGUGCAGAGUGUUAUGUCCUGCUGAUGUAUGUGACACAUCUCAACCUGUGCGUUUUGGAGGCCAAAGCCCAUGGCCAAGCCUGUGACCUCUUUGGGGUGAGGCAGGACGGCCCAAGGAACAAGAAUGUGCUGCACCGGGGGCCGUUGGCCCAGGGAUUGAAAACGUGACGAGGCCGUUCUAAAGGAACACAGAGUAUGCGGUUUUCCGACCAGCAGGAAGUCUGGGGUCAAGUUCAGCCAGCACAAGGGGAUCCUGGGCAGUCUGUACUGGAAACCAAGGUCAUACCUAGGGACCACUCCUCAAUGAGGCUGUCCUGCUGCCAUGAGGAAGUCCUCCAUCACCUGCAAAGAGGAAGGGCGAGCCUCGGCUGGGUGCUCCUUCUGUAGCCUCCAGAAUGUGAGAAGAGAGGCCCUCUGGCGCCUGUAGCUCUGGGCGAGGCAGCGGGAGGCCAAGACUCAGCGACAGAAGGUUUGCCCACCAAGGAGGGGUGCCCCGAGUGUCCAACACAGAAGCACUUGCUGCCCCUCCUUGGUUAUCUGACAUGCACCUUCUUCCCAAGCUCACCUCAAAAAUAAGUCUCCCAGCAGCCCGCACCCGAGCCUCACCACCGCACGGCCCUGCCUCUCCCUGAGGGCGAGAACCCCCCACCCCACCGCUCUGCGGAUGACGUCCUCGACUCCUGGUCCAGGUGUCUGGGAUGUCUCUUCCUCCUCCGGUUUUUCUUGGUUCUCUGUAUUUUCAAGGAUGUAGGAUUAAAGCCAACGGCUACACCAUGCCGCCAAAGUGUGGCCCAAGGACCCAGGGGUCUGCGAGGUCCUUGCCCAACUGCACAUCUGGGGACGCCAUGCAAGAGACCAACGCAGAAGUCAACGUGGGGACACAGUGCAUCCCGGGAAGCCAGACGCUAAAGGGCAGAAACUGCAUGAGCUUUUCUGAGCUGGCCUCAGAAGUCAUGGAAUAUCACUUGUCCUCCGUUAGUUGAAGCACUCACAAACCUGCCGAGAUUCAAGAGAAGGAGACAGAGAGCCCAUCUCUCAGUUGGAGGAGGGCCAAAACGUUUGUGGUCAUGUUUCAAAGCUGCCACUGCCCUCGUGCUAUAGGGAGAGAAGAUCUCAUGGCUCCCAGCAGCUUCCCUUUGGGAUGGAGGCGGCUUCAGGGUGAUUACAGGGAAGCCCAUCUUUCCAAUCCCAGGAGUGGCCAGAGUCGGGGUCGGGAGAUUGGCAUCCUGCUAACAGGUGAAUCAGUGACCCCUCAGCUCCCUGUGACUUUGCCUUAGGGUGGCAAGUCUGAGAAAUCACACCUCUCUUCCAGACUGACCAGCGCCAAGGGAUCCAUCAUCCUCUGCUGAAUCAAAGGAGCCAUCACUGUCAAUCCUUUGCCAAGGCAACGGCAAAAUUUCCCCUCCUGUGAUUCCAAAAUUUCCCCUCCUGUGACUGCCCUCUUAUAAUCUGUUCUUCAGAGCAGCUGGAGUGAUUUUCGAAGAUGAUCAAGCAGAUGAUUUCGUAGCCAGCCUCCCAGCUCAAGUUGACCCUCGACCUCCAUUGUUCCUGGAAGACAUCUGUGCUGCUUGUCAUUGCCUUUGGCCAGACACACAACCUUGUCCCUGCUCAGCUCUUUGAUUUCACUUCCUUUCACUGGGUUCCAGCUACACUGGUUUUCCUACUGUUCUUGGAAUUCACCAGCCUUGUUCCUGCCUUGAAGCCUGUGGACCCCAUAACCCUUGCCCCCAGCAGCCUCUGUUUCCCAGGAGAGGUCACCAGGCUCUCGCUCCUCCAGAUUAGGGGUGAGACCAUAAAAACCAGAGCUUACCUGCUGCAUAUUGCAUAGAUUCUGCCCCAUGAUGGACUUUUCCUCCACACUCCGGGGAAAUCUGACUGCCAGCAGCUGUCCCUGGAGGAGCCGAACUGCACAGACCCUGGUGGACGGAACCUGACAGUAGCCUGCAGCUGCCCUGUGGAAGACCAACCGAGGACACGAUAUUUACUCUUUCUUUCCAGGUACCACGUCCUCCUCCAGGGCCCUCCUAGGAUCUGGGGUGUAGCAGGAACGAAAUGAAACCAGUCCUGGGCCCUCUUGGAGCUUUUCUCCCACAGUGAGACGCAGCCAGGUGAACAGAUGUAAAUCAGGUGUUCCCUCCGACGGUGAGAGAGCUCCCGAGGAGGCGAACCCGGAGAGGAAACACAGAGGCUGCCGCUUAAAACUGGAUCAUCACAAACAAAGGGCUUUAUUGAGGACGUCUGAGCGGCUUUUGGGGUGGGGGGGCAGGAGGGUUUCAGGCAGCUGGAGACCAGCAGGGACAAAGCGUGAGGCGGAUUUCAGGAGGAGCGAGGGGCCAGUCUGGCUGGACGGUGUAGGGAGGACAAGUGGCUGUGGGUGGGGCUGGUCAGUCGGAUGGGCCAUGGUGGCCCGUGAAUGAGACGGGAGCCACGGGGGUGUGGCACGGAGGAGCACAGGGUCUGGCCCGGGUGACAGCACUGCUCUGGAGGCAGCAGAGGAGGGUUAGAAGGAAGGCGGGGGGAAGGGAGAGGUGCUUGGACCAGAUGGGAUGGCGGAGGCAGGCAGGGUGGAUUCUGGAAGGAUUCGCAGAACUGAAGGCAGAGCCAGCGGGGCUGCCCACACUGCUCUGGGGAAGAGAGAGGGAGUGGCCGAGGACAGGGAAACGGGGUUGUCGUUCACUGAGAGGGAAGAAGCAGGUGAAGGCGCUGAGAAUGUGGCCUUGGGGGUGCUGUCUUGGGGGGCCUGUGGGGCGCCUAAGUGAGGACACAGGGAGUUAAGGGGGACACAGGGAUGCCAUCACCCGGGCUGGAGGGAAGGAGCGCUCGUCCUGCAGGAGAGGCAAGAGGGGAAGGCGGACGGACGGGGAGACGUGCAGCAGGAAGACAGGGCUUAGGACAGGCCGGGAGGGAGAGGAGGAGUCUACGUGGUAUGUGAUGUGGACCUCUGGUCCUAAAACAUGAGGCAGGAGCCACAGCUGCUUUGACGGAGGAAGGUGCUGAGCUGGGCAGACAGGACACCCGAGCGGAAAUGCUCCCACAGUGGGCAAACCCGCCACUGAGGCAGAAAGAAGGAGAAGGGAAAAGAUACUGAGUACCCCAGACUCAGAGAAGGGGUUGGGUGUGGAAAUCGACACAGACUGAGCACCUACUAUGUGCCAGGUACAUUGCUGGUGCUCUAUAUCAUGAUCACAGACAGCUCUUUAAAGGUGCCCACAUUUUACUGAAAGACCCCCAUCCAAUGAAAGACCCCCGUAUCCCUGUCCAAGGAGAAUCACACGAAACACUGGCUGCAAAAGCAAGAGGUUGUUGGUUUAUUGGGACACAGGCGCCUGCGGGUGCCCAGCAGAACCUCAGCCGGAGCUUUGGUGAACUGGCACACCGGGCUUGGGGAUACAGAGAUUUUUAUAGGGUUUGGGACAGGUUUCGCGCACGCGGGAAGCAACAG